This 194-nucleotide non-coding RNA is filed under the name Paenibacillus sp. Its description in RNAcentral is "GlcN6P sequence". It matches the Rfam family "glmS glucosamine-6-phosphate activated ribozyme aptamer". From Rfam's summary of the family: This entry contains a glucosamine-6-phosphate activated ribozyme that is found in the mRNA for GlmS. The record is from RNAcentral. Lineage: Bacteria; Bacillati; Bacillota; Bacilli; Caryophanales; Paenibacillaceae.
UCGUAAUAAAUAGCGCCAGAACUCGCAAGCGGGACGGAAAUGUAGGCUUUAUAGGCUUACUACUACGCGGUGAGUUGACGAGGUGAAGGUGUUCGAAACAUUCGGCGGGGACCUUCCGGCACGAGGAGUGCCGUUAAGUUGGAGAGCAAAAUCGUUCGGGCGACCGGGCAGACAAGUAUCCAACAUCUAUUAAC